RNAcentral lists this transfer RNA (74 nucleotides) under Firmicutes bacterium HGW-Firmicutes-12. Its description in RNAcentral is "tRNA-Gly". It matches the Rfam family "tRNA". Rfam says of the family: Transfer RNA (tRNA) molecules are approximately 80 nucleotides in length. Their secondary structure includes four short double-helical elements and three loops (D, anti-codon, and T loops). Further hydrogen bonds mediate the characteristic L-shaped molecular structure. tRNAs have two regions of fundamental functional importance: the anti-codon, which is responsible for specific mRNA codon recognition, and the 3' end, to which the tRNAs corresponding amino acid is attached (by aminoacyl-tRNA synthetases). tRNAs cope with the degeneracy of the genetic code in two manners: having more than one tRNA (with a specific anti-codon) for a particular amino acid; and 'wobble' base-pairing, i.e. permitting non-standard base-pairing at the 3rd anti-codon position. Lineage: Bacteria; Bacillati; Bacillota. The record is from RNAcentral.
GCGGGUGUGGUUCAAUGGUAGAACUCCAGCUUCCCAAGCUGGUGGCGAGGGUUCGAUUCCCUUCACCCGCUCCA